UAAAUUUCUUGUCCUUUGAUGAUGACAGAGUGCAUACCCUUCCCAUGGCUCUUUAGGGGUGCUUCUCCCACCCAAGCGGACUGGCAUCUUUAAAGUGGUAAGUGUGCACCAUCGUAGCUAAUGCCUGAGUCAAUUUUGCAAAUACAGGCUCAAUGUUAGCAGGUUCCCUCUUUGCUGCAGAUUCCUGGAGUGGACAAAAAAGGAAACACACCACAGCCAUCUUAGUGAAUUACACAGUACUGCUUGCCCUGGUGAGGCCGUGAUGAGGGAUAUGGGGAGGGGGCCAGGUAUGAACUGUUUUUCCCCAGGAAGAUUCUUUUCACUUCCUUUUCGGCCUACUCAAAUGCUCCUUUGACUUGAACUGAAGUCACAGCUCAAGGUGCGCUUUUGACUAGGACACCUGCACAAGGUCUGACCGUCUCGCCAGUGUUCAAAAACCGCUUGUGAAAUGAAUGAGCACAGCCCUGGAGGUAGACGAGACAUCUUCCCCAGCCCAGGUCCCAAGUUCCUCAUGUUCCUCUCACAUCAAUGAAGAGGCUCCUCUCUGCCCUCCAGUCCUUACAGCACUCCUGUGAAACAGAUACCGUCACCCCCACUUAUCAGAUGAAAAAAACCAAGGCUCAGAAAAGUUCAACAACUUGCUCAAGAUCAUUAGCAGAGCUGGGAUUUGGAAACAAACAGUAGACCCCAGAGCCCCUACUUUUAAAUGCAGCUCUGCCGAGAGAUGCAGAAGGCAGGCCAGUGCCCUGUUAUCCAUGAAGGGACACUGUAGAAAAUGAGAGGCCACAGGAAGGCCAGCAGCACCUGCUCAUUGCUCGGACUCCCACAGCCCUUCCAGGCCUCUCCGGCUCCAGGCAGGGAUGGAAAUCUGCUCCUCGGCAGGUUAGAGCUCUGAGGAGUCCCAGAAAGCACAGUCUUUUGCAGCCUUGAGCUCUUCCCAGCAUUGCCAGGGCAGGAAUUGCCCGAGGAUUGUCUGGGAUGCCAUCCUGGAUCGUCACCCUUCCCCGCAAACCACAGGCCCUCAACCCCUGGCUGCUGCCUCUUCCGGAAAACAUACCUGUUAGAUAAAACGUGUGUGUGCCAGCUCACUUACCUGCUGUGGGAUCUUGCACAAGUUGCUUGAUAUCUCUGUGCCUCAGUUUCCUCACCUGACAAAUGGAGAUAACCGCAUCGCCUUCCCGGGAUGCGUUACAAGAAUCCAGUGCAAAUGCUUACAAACAGAUGAGAAGCAUCCCUGCCGUGUGAGAAGCUCUCAGGAAGUGUUAGCCAUCAGCAGCAGCAGCAUUGCUGUGAUAUUUAUUAUUGAGGUUGAUGAUGGUCUUAUGUGCCUAUAUAUCCAGGUACUUGGUAGAGUGUCUGGCAUGAAUAAGCACUCAAUAAUCAUCGACUCGAUGAGGGAAUGUACUUCGAAGCUAAUUUUUUCCCCAAGGUAUUACCCUUCCCAGGAAAAUUUAAAUUUAAACAGAAGAUCCGCACGUUGAUGGCAACGCUUAAUGCGUAAGUGGCUAAUGGUGUGGUUCCAGAUGUCUCUGGGGAAGGGAUUUAAAGUCAGUGGUUGUUUUCAUAUCUAGUCAGUCAGUUAACUCAUAAUAUAGCUAGCCCUCGUCGGUAGCUCAUAGUUAUCUUCCCUAAGGUGGAAUC
This is a long non-coding RNA of Herpailurus yagouaroundi (jaguarundi), 1641 nucleotides long. RefSeq lists it as uncharacterized. The transcript has 4 exons. NCBI's taxonomy places the organism in Eukaryota, Metazoa, Chordata, Mammalia, Carnivora, Felidae. The record is from RefSeq and is a predicted model, not a curated record.